CCUACGGGAGGCAGCAGUGGGGAAUAUUGGACAAUGGGCGAAAGCCUGAUCCAGCAAUGCCGCGUGAGUGAUGAAGGCCUUAGGGUCGUAAAGCUCUUUUACCAGGGAUGAUAAUGGCAGUACCUGGAGAAUAAGCUCCGGCUAACUCCGUGCCAGCAGCCGCGGUAAUACGGAGGGAGCUAGCGUUGUUCGGAAUUACUGGGCGUAAAGCGUGCGUAGGCGGUUAUUCAAGUCAGAGGUGAAAGCCCGGGGCUCAACCCCGGAACGGCCUUUGAAACUAGAUAACUAGAAUCUUGGAGAGGUCAGUGGAAUUCCGAGUGUAGAGGUGAAAUUCGUAGAUAUUCGGAAGAACACCAGUGGCGAAGGCGACUGACUGGACAAGUAUUGACGCUGAGGUACGAAAGCGUGGGGAGCAAACAGGAUUAGAUACCCUGGUAGUCCACGCCGUAAACGAUGAUAACUAGCUGUCCGGACACUUGGUGUUUGGGUGGCGCAGCUACGCAUAAGUUAUCGUCCGUGGUAGGUACGGUCGCGAGAGUAAACUACAAUAGAGUAGACGGUCGUGAGAGUUGCCGACGGACGACGACGAGGGAGGAGG
This 598-nucleotide ribosomal RNA is filed under the name uncultured bacterium. RNAcentral describes it as "bacterial SSU rRNA". It matches the Rfam family "Bacterial small subunit ribosomal RNA", at positions 338 to 954 of the family's 1533-position model. The record is from RNAcentral.